This is an RNA transcript of Zea mays, 4400 nucleotides long. It is a transcript of the gene named cactin, with no coding region annotated. The transcript has 7 exons. The record is from RefSeq and is a predicted model, not a curated record. NCBI's taxonomy places the organism in Eukaryota, Viridiplantae, Streptophyta, Magnoliopsida, Poales, Poaceae.
GCCGCGCCGCGCUGCCCGCUCGCACCUACCAUUCUGGACGAACUCAUCCGUGGAUACGCCGCGCUCGUCGGCGUGGUCCCCUCCAUGAAGGCCUUCUCGUCCUUCCCGGACUCCAUGUCUCACCACCUCCCGCGCCACCGCUCCUCCGUCCACGACUCGCUCUUCUCCUUCCGCAUCCCCGACCCGUCCUCCCCACGCCGCGCCUUCCUCUACGGCUUCGUCUUCAACCGCCAGCGCCAGGAUGAGCGACUCCCCCGCGAUGGCGAGCAGAAGUCCGUAGUCAUCCUCUCCCACGCCCCCUACUCCUCGCUCUUCAGCCUGCUGCUGCAGAUCCUCGGCCCGCUCUGCUUUGACUUUGGCCCUUCCGCACUGGCCAUGGUGGCGUCGCACGUUGCUGUGUGGCCGGCGCCAGGUCACCCAAUGGAGCUUCCAAUUGACAGUGCCGCGCUGCGCGUGCACCUCCCGCCUGCGCUGCUGCCUGCCAACCCCUCGCGUGCACUUCCCGCCUGCAGUUCAUCAAUGGUUUGGCAGCUAGAGGUUUACGGAAGUUUUUGUCCAAAAGGAUGAGGUCCAAUAGGUUGGACCUAUAUAGGAGAUUUCUCGAAGGCCCCAAUUUUAUGCCUUGGUUCCGGCAAAGACGUGCUGCUGCGGAGCAAGAACAGCAGAGGCUCUGGAGGCAGGCUCGCAUGAAUGUUGACAUUGAAAAACUAAUGUCAAAUAUGUCCGAAAUAGAGAGGAUUGAUUCUUUUGAUGCUGUUGAGCGUUAUCUUCUCAGAGAGAUGGAGGUAACUUUCUUAGUCACAUGUUUCCUUAAAAAAUCUGACCUACUCCCUCCGUCCACAUGAUUUAGUCGUUUUGGGUUUGUCCUAAGUCGAUUAUUGUCAACUUUGACCGGUUAUAUCGGAUGUUUCAUAAGACUUUACAACAUAAAAGCAAAGUUACUAGAUUCUUCAUGACUUGAACUACCAUAAUAUGUAAUUCUUUUAGUUCAAAAUAAUUUAAUCUUGUAUAUAUUGUUGGUCAAAGCUAAAAUAGUUUGACUUAGGAUAAACUUAAAACGACUAAAUCAUGUGGACGGAGGGAGUACUAAGUUUUGCAAUUUUUUAACAUGUCAGCAUUACAUUACUAAGGCAUUUAUUCAGCAAGUGAGGUGCGCAACCUUAAGUUUGAUCACCCGGACAAGUUCUGUGUUCUGAUAAAUAUAAUGUCAAGAAUAGUUCAGAAUGCAACAUAUAUCAAAUAACGUAGGAAAAAAUUGCAUAUAUUUUUGUUGAUGAACUUGUCACCGAAGACUGCAAACUUAUCCUAACAUGAAACAUAAAUAAGACUUAACUGUAUGAUUCUAGACUUUCUUUUGUUGAGACUGCUUAAGUUGGAGUUAGACUCAAGUACUAAGAAAUAUACUUUUCCACAAUAAUUCAUAUAGCAUGAAUACUUAUUACUAUGUUUUAGAAGGUUAAUAUUUUACCAAUCCGGAGCUAAUAAAAGCAAUGUUAACUACCUCUUUGUUUGAACACCAUGUUGGGUAAUGUUUGAAUGACUAUUCUACUGUACAGGAUUACAUGACUAUAUAUUAAUCAUAGGUUCUGUUUUUUAUUAUUCUAUAUUGCCAAUAGAGGAAUACUGUAUUUUCUAAAAUCUUGUAGUGGCCUUCAUCGGUAUCAUCAAUAAAGUAACAAAAAAUGAUGUUCCUUAUGGAUAAUGGUUGAUAAGCUAAAAACUGUAAUCUGUGCACAAAUAUUUCUGGACUAACUAAUUCCCAAUAUAUGUUCUCUGAUCCAAAGUCUGUUAAUUUUCUGACUUCACAGGUUCACAUUGAUGGUUUAUAGCUUAGCUUUUAGCCAUUCACCAUCUUGGACUUUAUAACCAUCUGGCAGUUAUUGAUCUAUCACUGCCUUACUACAUGUUACCUAUCUGGCAGUUAUUGAUCUAUCACUGCCUUACUACAUGUUACCUAUCUGGCAAUUAUGAGAUGCCUAUUCUUUUCAUAUGUAAAUCCUAAAAUAUUCGAAUCCAUUUUAUAUGUAAAUCCUAAAAUUUUCGAAUCCAAAGCCACCAAUUACAAUAUUAUGUACUGAAAUUAUACCUUUUACUUAUGUGUCACUCUGCAUUUUUUUAAGAUUCAAAAAAUGCCUUCCUUAUUUUAUACACGGUUAAACACCAACCUUCAUGAUUCACUGGAUCUUCUUAGUAUUAUCUCUAACAAAAAAAAUAAAGUUCUUUCCCCACAAAUGCAAAUAUAGGUAUUAACUUAUUGAUUUUAAAUUGGUUAUUAAAUGUCUGGCAUGGAUCUCCUCCCUGCUCACGGGCCUCACCGUCCUCAAUAGCGAGUGUAGCCUCAAACUUCGCACCAACACACUCGACAAGCUUGAUGGCGACCCCUACGUCAACAUCCGCAUGGGCAAGGUCAUGUAAUUUCUAUCUUAAUUUCAAUAGUGAUUUUAGCAGAUGGAAAUUUUAAAAUUUUGGCAGUGAGUAUGCAACACUUCCAAGAAAUGCAUAAUGUAUUAAUGUGGGGCUGUGGGUGUUGGAACGUGCGUGUUGACUAGCUUUGAUUAGCUUGUCGAUAUACAUACUUAGCCAUCUAUUUUUUCUUCUCCUUUCAAAUGCUAUGCUAUUGCUACUGUUGUUGGAGUGUACAAUUUAACUUGAUAUAUGAUUUAAUAGAUGCUUUGUGUGCAUAAAUCGUCUACAGUUACCAUCUGCACUUUUUAGCCAUGUUUGAGAGAUGUGAUGGAGUUUGGAUUUCACUUAAAAAUGCAGGUCCAGUUGAUGUUUAAUGUGCCUGAACUGCAGUUGCAGUCAUAAAGCUCAAACAAUCUUGAGCAUUUGGUUUUACAUUAUAUUCUCUGGUUUCUGUUUUUGUGAUUUGUGUUCUGAUGAUGCAAACACUUCCAUUUUUAUGUUACUCAUGCACAAGAUUUCCUGCACAACCAACUGUCUUUUGAAUUCUUUUUGUUAUUUGAUCCAGGGAGUGGACACAAUCAGGCUCUUGCGCAAUUAUCCCCUGAAUUUACUACCUGUAGUUUCGAAAUGGACUUACCCAAAAAAUAUUUGCACUAAGAAUAUUUAUGUUUGUUUAGUUGGUCUGGACAAACCACAAGAUCAGUUUAAGCAUUGCUUCCAAAUGCCAUUAAAUAUUUAUCUUGACUGAAAAUUCGCACACAAGAAUAGUAAUAUUCUAUGACCAAGUGACUGUAGUAUGAAGAAGCAUGUGUCAUUUUCCUGAUUAAUUUAGCUGGUUCAACUCUGUUGGGUCCCAAGUCUUGGCCAGAACUUGAUGUAAUUAAACUUCUUUAGAAAAUUGAGUACCUUUCUAUGUGGAUUUACAUAUCCCUUUGCCUUAUAGUUUGGCAUAUUAUUGCACUUCAUGUUGACACACUUCUGAUAGCAUGUUUACCUUGGGAUAAGGUUUCUAAUGUUUGCCAAUAUUGCCAAGUAAAAUAAAAUGUCAGUGGCUUGAACACCCAGAUUAUUUGCUACCUUCCUUUUGCAUUACCACUAUAAUUUUCAAAGAAGGAUGCUCUCUAUCUUGUCUCUUUACAGGUUUGUGUGGCGAAAGAAGAUAGAGCGUGAUGUAUCUCAGGGACAGAAGGUGAACAUUUCUGUUAAAUCUGAGAAGAAGAAACAACAAGAAAGAAUGGCUGAAAUAGAAAAGGUUAAGAAAAGAAGAGAAGAAAGAGCUAUUGAAAAGGCACAACAUGAAGAGGAAAUGACAUUGCUAGCUAGAGAAAGAGCACGUGCCGAGUUUCAAGACUGGGAGAAGAAAGAGGAAGAGCAAGGUCAGGUCUGAGAUCAGGUUGCGGGAGGGGCGUACAAAGCCUAUUGAUGUUCUCCUAAAGAAUCUUAAUUUCUCAGAUGAAUUUGACAUUGAAUUAAAUGAGCCCUAUCUGGUGUUCAAGACAGCUGUUGUAUAUUCUGACACCAUCGCACAGUACAUCAAAUGCAUUUUAUAACUUAGCAGUUCCUGAAAUAUGUGUAUUUUGCAAUAAACUGGAGGAUGAGAUGCACGAGGAUGAAGAUGAUAAACGAUAUUCACCUGAGCCUAUACCUCAACAGACAGAUAACCAAUUUGAAGAGGAAGAUGGAUCCUUUUCUCCACAGCUAAUGCAUGGCAACGAAGAUGAAGAUGCAAUUGAUCCUGAAGAAGACAAAGCUGAGCUGGUAGAGUUCUAUGUUUCUAUUUUCUAAUAAUAUUAGUUUAGAAACAUGAUUGGAAGUUCAGAACUGUAAUAGUUAUUCGUUCAAGUGCAGUUAACUGAGUAGUUUAAUUGUCAAGUACAGAUUGUUAGUAAGUGGACUCCAAAUUAUGCAACAAAAGGCUUACUUUUCUCCACAGCUUUUGCAGUCCUCCCUGUGUGUCUUACCCUAAGAGAGGACAUUGAUUCAUUUAGAUCUUA